CCGCAAUGGGCGAAAGCCUGACGGAGCAACGCCGCGUGAGUGAUGAAGGUCUUCGGAUCGUAAAGCUCUGUUGUUAGGGAAGAACAAAUGUGUAAGUAACUGUGCACAUCUUGACGGUACCUAACCAGAAAGCCACGGCUAACUACGUGCCAGCAGCCGCGGUAAUACGUAGGUGGCAAGCGUUAUCCGGAAUUAUUGGGCGUAAAGCGCGCGUAGGCGGUUUUUUAAG
This 229-nucleotide ribosomal RNA is filed under the name Staphylococcus chromogenes. RNAcentral describes it as "partial 16S ribosomal RNA". It matches the Rfam family "Bacterial small subunit ribosomal RNA", at positions 366 to 587 of the family's 1533-position model. The record is from RNAcentral. Lineage: Bacteria; Bacillati; Bacillota; Bacilli; Caryophanales; Staphylococcaceae.